UACAGAGGGUGCAAGCGUUAUUCGGAAUUAUUGGGCGUAAAGGGCGCGUAGGCGGCUUGGCAAGUGGAAGGUGAAAUCCCUCGGCUUAACCGAGGAACUGCCCUCCAAACUGCUUCGCUUGAGACCGGGAGAGGUGAGUGGAAUUCCCAGUGUAGCGGUGAAAUGCGUAGAUAUUGGGAGGAACACCAGUGGCGAAGGCGGCUCACUGGACCGGUACUGACGCUGAUGCGCGAAAGCGUGGGGAGCAAACGGG
Molecule: ribosomal RNA, 253 nt
Filed under: uncultured bacterium
Lineage: Bacteria
Description: partial 16S ribosomal RNA
Rfam family: Bacterial small subunit ribosomal RNA
Source: RNAcentral